RNAcentral lists this ribosomal RNA (295 nucleotides) under Cyriopagopus schmidti (Chinese earth tiger). RNAcentral describes it as "Haplopelma schmidti (Chinese earth tiger) partial 12S ribosomal RNA". Lineage: Eukaryota; Metazoa; Arthropoda; Arachnida; Araneae; Theraphosidae. The record is from RNAcentral.
GGUGGCCAUUUUAUUUUAUUAGAGGAACUUGUAUUUUAAUCCGAUAAUCCCCGUUAAAUUUAUCUUUUUNUCAAAGCCUUUAUAUCGCCGUUUAAAGAAAUCGAUAAAAUUCCAUUUCAAAAUAAAAAAACUUUUCACGUCAGGUCGAGAUAAAACCAAUGAAAAAGGGAGCCGAGUUACUUAUACUCUUUAUUUACAUUCUUCUUUCCAAACAUUCAAGAAUCAAGGAUUUAAUAGUAAUAAAUUAUUAAAAUUUUUAGAAAAAGCAAGAAGGCACACAUCGCCCGUCGCUCUU